This 396-nucleotide ribosomal RNA is filed under the name uncultured bacterium. RNAcentral describes it as "bacterial SSU rRNA". It matches the Rfam family "Bacterial small subunit ribosomal RNA", at positions 29 to 407 of the family's 1533-position model. The record is from RNAcentral.
AACGAACGUUGGCGGCGUGGAUUAGGCAUGCAAGUCGAAUGAAUGUCAGUUGUGUAGCAAUACAUGACUGGCGGAAAUGGCGAAAGGGGCGAGUAAUGCAUGGGUAACCGUACCUUGGGGAGUGGGGAGUAGCCGUUCUAACGGACGGGUAAGUACCCAGAGAUUCGGCGGGAGGGCGAUCCUCCUACCGGGAAAUGAAUUUCGCCUCGAGAGGGGCCCGAUGUGCUAUUAGCUAGUUGGUGGGUAACGGCCGUACCAACGGCUAAGAUGGCUAGCGGGUGUGAGAGCACGACCCGCGCCACUGGCACUGAGACACUGGCCAGACACCUACGGGUGCUGCAGUCGAGGAUCUUCGUCAAUGGGCGCGAAGCCUGAACGAGCGACGCCGCGUGCGCG